Long non-coding RNA from Lolium perenne, 2054 nucleotides. RefSeq lists it as uncharacterized. NCBI's taxonomy places the organism in Eukaryota, Viridiplantae, Streptophyta, Magnoliopsida, Poales, Poaceae. The record is from RefSeq and is a predicted model, not a curated record.
AACCACGGCACGUGGCCAGGCUGUAACAAAUAGUUCCCGUGGUCGGAUUCGUCUGUGGUUCACACAGUCCCCAUCCCCACUCGCACAUCAGGGAAGAAAAAUCACCCGCACUUUCUCCUCGACGAACUCCAACUAAAAGAAAAUGGAUUGAUCCAAUCGAGUGGAACCUGAGGUCGGCGAAGGAGGAAGGAGAGACGCUGGUCGUACGAACCGCAUGGCGCCCGCGCUCCCAAGGAUCUGGGAGGCGGCCAUGGCGUUGUUGCGGCUGCGGGGGAGGGAGGAGCGAGCAGCGCCGGCGACGGAGGCGAAGGGUGGCGGCAAUGGAGGAUGUGGCGGUGUGGGUAGCUAGGUGCCACUCGGCUCCACCUCCGCCUCGACAUCGAAGACCUCCCCGAGGCGGCGCUGCUUGGCGGCGAUCUGGAGCUCCUCGAUCCGGCGGAGGAUGCAGAACUCUCGUUCUCCUUUGAUCCGACCGCCAAGCCCCAAUCACCACCGCUCCAGCUCGUCUUGGUCUCGGUCUGCGGGCCGGCACAACGCCCUGCGCCAUACCGGCGGCAGCAGCAGGCAACCAAUCUCCGUGCCAGGCCCUCUGGUCAAAGGCUCAAAGCCUUGUCUCUUCGCUUCGCAGCAGCACUUCACAAUCGACAGCAGCAGCAGCGCUGCAGCCAUGCCCGUGCACGCAAGCAGGGUAGCAGGCCACCUUUUGCUUCUCCUGUAUAUCAAUAGAAGGUUCUGAAUUAUGAUUCCUAGAUGUAUUUUUUGCAGACUAAUUUUUUUUUUGCUUUUUAACUUUUUUACUUACACACUGGUAGAAGGAUGUAUAUUAUGGUUUUUGGAUGUAGUUUUUGCAGACUAUUUCUUUUUUUUUUUUUUUUUUUGAAACGGGGCAAGAAGAGCUUGCCUUAUAUUGAUAUAGGAGGAGCAAACAUAGGAUUGGCUGAAGCCAAAAAAUAAAAGAAAAGGGGAAAGACCCCAAGAAAGAGAAAAAAAAAAUCACCCUACAAGCUCCGCCAGGUUUUUUGCACCGGCUAGAAUCCAAUCCUUUCCUUCCUUCCUAAUCUUAUCCAUGAUGACCGAAGGCAAAGAUGAUUUAUUGCUGAAGACUCUUUCAUUCCUUUCUUUCCAAAUCUCCCAAGCGAUAAGCAUGAUGGCUGUCCGUAAACCUUUGGGAGAAGAGGUGGGAGUCUUGGCGAUGGCGUGCCAAUAGUCCAACACCUUAGGUCUUCCCGUUCCCAAGCAGAGGAGAAGGUCUGGACAAGAGAGCCAAGAAGCCGCAGCAGCCCAGAUCCUCUUGGAAAAGCGGCAUUCAAAAAGGAUAUGUCGCGCCGUUUCGGGGGAGCAUCUACACAGCUGACAAGUAGGUUGGUGUGGCCACCCCCGUUUCGCAAGACGGUCGGCGGUCCAGAGGCGGUUCUGAACGGCGAGCCAGGCGAAGAAACGACACUUGGGGGGAGCCCAAGUUUUCCAAACAAUUUUCCUGAAGGGGCAUGGCAGAGAGGCCAGGAACUGGGCCUUGUAGGCGGAGCUGGCCGAGUAACAACCAUUGGGCGACAUGGUCCAGAUUAUGGAGUCCCUUGUGCCAGGGGAUAGUUGUACCCCUGAAAGAAGAUCCCAAAGGCGGACGUAUUGCUCCAGGUGUUCAAUCGUGAAAGAGUCCACAUUAAUAUCUGCAACCCAGGUCUGGCCCUCGAGAGCAUCCCGAACCGUCCGGUUCUUUCUCCUAGAAGCUUUGAAGAUUCUUGCCUAUCAGAAUAUUCACCUCCCUCUUAGUGUAAGGAUGUAAUUAUAUUAAUUUUUCUUUACUCUAGAUGUAAUUUUUGUCAAUUUUCUACAUCCAGAACGUUUUAAUGGAUCAAGUUGUAAAACAGAACGUUUUAAUGUGAUCCCACUUUUCGUGAUCUUGGAUGUAUUUUUUGUACUCCGUACAAUUUUACAUCCAUCGUCGUAUUUUUUACAUGCACAAUUAGAUCACAGAAUAAGUGGUAUGUGUUGUGUUAUUUAUCGGGGAUGUAAAUUUUUAUAAAAGAUAUAGAUGAAGUUUCAUUGUUGUAACA